UCUUGUCAGAAUACAAACUAAUCUGAACUUCGUCUAGUAUUAUAAUAUUGCGCAGUACGCACUUAUUUUGAGUUGAAUUUGUACUGGACUCUUAUGAUCAACGAUUUCAAGGUGUGGAAAUUGAGAAAGUUAAAAGAAGGAUUGAAGGCAUUCCGAGAAUUGAAAUCAGAGACCCUUCACCCUGAGCUCUAAUCGAAGUUCCCAUUUUUUUAUGUUUAAAGUAGUCAGUUUUUAGUUAUUAGAUCUUUUAUUCAAGGUCUCUAUAAACUUCAAUGACUAUAUUACUGUUCAACAAAUUGUUAGUGCUGCCUGACUGCUUAAAACAGCUAGUUUAAAGAUCACGUGGAUAAUUAGUUCCAUUGUCCCCUGUUCAUUAAACGUUCUCUCACAAUAAACUUCUGUGUGCAGGACUAUGCGAACAGAAUGCCAAGGUAUUCUGUUGAUAAAUAGGGUUAAGGCAGGUCUUUCUUAUAUGAAGACUUUUAGAUCAAACUUAAACAGAAUUGGCGCCAUUUGAUUAUUUGGUGUCCUUUGCUGGACAAGUUUAAGUCCGAAUACAGGUUUAAGUCAGAUUUUCAUUUUCAGAUGACUAUAAGAAUAAAGGUACAAGAAAGAAGCUAUUGACUGCAGUAGAUUUUUUUUUGCUCUCUGCAAAGGAAUCUUGUCAGGAACCAAAUGGAUCUUAAGGUAGUAGGCCUCUAUAUUAUUUUACUUGUAAAGUUGACUUAGCAUCAGAUUCUCUGGUCACAAACUUGAGUGUAAGGGAACAACUAAUAAAAAAUAAACUGUGGGAGCAUUCCGAGAAUUGAACUCAGGACCUCUUGCACCCUAUUGUUCCAUAAACCCGUAGUUUGGAUGUUACAUAAACCUU
Molecule: long non-coding RNA, 871 nt
Organism: Hibiscus syriacus
Lineage: Eukaryota; Viridiplantae; Streptophyta; Magnoliopsida; Malvales; Malvaceae
Exons: 3
Source: RefSeq, a predicted model, not a curated record